This 981-nucleotide ribosomal RNA is filed under the name Phaeocyclotomus linealba. RNAcentral describes it as "partial 16S ribosomal RNA". Lineage: Eukaryota; Metazoa; Arthropoda; Insecta; Coleoptera; Cleridae. The record is from RNAcentral.
GAUAAUAUUAUUUUAUUAUUUUUUAAAGUUUACUUAUAAUUAAAAAAAGAAAUUAUUAUUUUAUUAAUUUUUAAGAAAAAAUAAUUUAUAAUUAUAGAUUAUAGUAUUGUAAAAGAAUUAUAUUAUUAAAUUUAAAGAAAAAUUUAAUUUUUGUACCUUGUGCAUCAGGGUUGAUUAAAAAAUAAUUAAAUAUUUAAUAUUCUCGAAUUUAAAAGAGCUAAUUAAUUAUAAAUUUUAUUGUAAAAUAAAUAUUUAAAAUUUUUAAUUAGAAAUGAAACGUUAUUCGUUUUUAAAUUUAUCUAGUUUUUAAAUAAAUAAAUUUAAUUUAGUUAUUUUAAGUUAAAAAUUUAAUUUUUUAAUUUUUUAUUUAAAAUAAGUAAUUUUUUUAGGGAUUAGCUUAAAAAAAUAUUAUUAUAAUAAUUUAAAAUUUAAAUAAAUUAUAGGAUUAUAAUUUUCUAUUAAUAAUAAAAUGUUAUAAUUAAUUAUUUUUUUUAUAUUAUUUUUAUUUUAUUUAAAUAUUAUAUUUAAAUAUAAAUUUUAAUUUUAAAAAUUUAGAAAUAAUGAUUAAAUUAGUAUAAAUUAAUGUAUAAUUAAAUUUUAUUUUAAGGUUAAUUUAAGGAAUUCGGCAAAUUUAUUUUUCACCUGUUUAUUAAAAACAUGGCCUUUUGAUUAUAAUUUAAGGUCUAAUCUGCCCACUGAAAUUUUAAAUGGCCGCGGUAUAUUGACCGUGCAAAGGUAGCAUAAUAAUUAGUUUCUUAAUUAGAAGCUGGAAUGAAAGAUUGAAUGAGAAAAUAACUGUCUCAAAUUAAAUUUUUUAGAAUUUUAUUUUUAAGUUAAAAAGCUUAAAUAUUUUUAAAAGACGAGAAGACCCUAUAGAGUUUUAUUUAAUAAUUUUUUAAAAAAAUAUAAAUUUUAAUAUUUUUUAAGUUAUUAUUAAAUUUUGUUGGGGAGAUAGAAAAAUUAAAUUAACUUUUUUUAUAU